RNAcentral lists this ribosomal RNA (253 nucleotides) under uncultured bacterium. RNAcentral's name for it is "partial 16S ribosomal RNA". It matches the Rfam family "Bacterial small subunit ribosomal RNA", at positions 524 to 776 of the family's 1533-position model. The record is from RNAcentral.
UACGUAGGGGGCAAGCGUUGUCCGGAUUCAUUGGGCGUAAAGAGCGUGUAGGCGGCCAGGUAGGUCGGUUGUGAAAACUGGAGGCUCAACCUUCAGACGUCGAUCGAAACCAUCUGGCUAGAGUCCGGGAGAGGAGAGUGGAAUUCCUGGUGUAGCGGUGAAAUGCGCAGAUAUCAGGAAGAACACCCGUGGCGAAGGCGGCUCUCUGGGACGGUACUGACGCUGAGACGCGAAAGCGUGGGGAGCGAACAGG